GACGAACGCUGGCGGCGUGCUUAACACAUGCAAGUCGAGCGGGAUCCAACCGGUGGCAACACCGGGGAAGAUCUAGCGGCGAACGGGUGAGUAACACGUGAGCAACCUGCCCCGAAGACUGGGAUAACACCGGGAAACCGGUGCUAAUACCGGAUGUCGUCAUUAGGCCGCAUGACCUGAUGAUGAAAGGAUUCAUCGCUUCGGGAGGGGCUCGCGGGCUAUCAGCUUGNGGUGGGGUAACGGCCCACCAAGGCGACGACGGCUAGCUGGUCUGAGAGGACGACCAGCCACACUGGGACUGAGACACGGCCCAGACUCCUACGGGAGGCAGCAGUGGGGAAUCUUGCGCAAUGGGCGAAAGCCUGACGCAGCAACGCCGCGUGGGGGAUGAAUGCCUUCGGGUUGUAAACCCCUUUCAGCAGGGACGAAAUUGACGGUACCUGCAGAAGAAGCCCGGCCAACUACGUGCCAGCAGCCGCCGCGGUAAG
Molecule: ribosomal RNA, 488 nt
Filed under: uncultured bacterium
Lineage: Bacteria
Description: bacterial SSU rRNA
Rfam family: Bacterial small subunit ribosomal RNA
Source: RNAcentral